Molecule: ribosomal RNA, 428 nt
Filed under: Bacteroidota bacterium
Lineage: Bacteria; Pseudomonadati; Bacteroidota
Description: Bacteroidetes bacterium partial 16S ribosomal RNA
Rfam family: Bacterial small subunit ribosomal RNA
Source: RNAcentral
UAGGGAAUCUUCCGCAAUGGGCGAAAGCCUGACGGAGCAACGCCGCGUGAGUGAUGAAGGUCUUCGGAUCGUAAAACUCUGUUAUUAGGGAAGAACAAAUGUGUAAGUAACUAUGCACGUCUUGACGGUACUUAAUCAGAAAGCCACGGCUAACUACGUGCCAGCAGCCGCGGUAAUACGUAGGUGGCAAGCGUUAUCCGGAAUUAUUGGGCGUAAAGCGCGCGUAGGCGGUUUUUUAAGUCUGAAGUGAAAGGCAGUGGCUCAACCAUUGUAGGCUUUGGAAACUGUUUAACUUGAGUGCAGAAGGGGAGAGUGGAAUUCCAUGUGUAGCGGUGAAAUGCGUAGAUAUAUGGAGGAACACCAGUGGCGAAGGCGACUCUCUGGUCUGUAACUGACGCUGAGGCUCGAAAGCGUGGGUAGCAAACAGG